Molecule: ribosomal RNA, 869 nt
Filed under: uncultured archaeon
Lineage: Archaea
Description: bacterial SSU rRNA
Rfam family: Archaeal small subunit ribosomal RNA
Source: RNAcentral
UCCGGGUGGAUCCUGCCGGACCUGACUGCUAUCGGAUUGGUACUAAGCCAUGCGAGUCAUUGUAGCAAUACAAGGCGGACGGCUCAGUAACACGUAGUCAACCUAACUCGUGGACGUGGAUAACCUCGGGAAACUGAGAAUAAACCACGAUAGACCAUAGUGCCUGGAAUGGCUUAUGGUCCAAACAGUUUACUGCCAUGGGAUGGGACUGCGGCCUAUCAGCUUGUUGGUGAGGUAAUGGCCCACCAAGGCGAUUACAGGUACGGGCUCUGAGAGGAGAAGCCCGGAGAUGGGUACUGAGACACGGACCCAGGCCCUAUGGGGCGCAGCAGGCGAGAAACCUUAGCAAUGUGCGAAAGCACGACUGGGUCAGUCCGAGUGAUUCCUGAUAAAGGAGUCUUUUGCUUGUCCUAAAAGCACAGGUGAAUAAGGGGUGGGCAAGUCUGGUGUCAGCCGCCGCGGUAAUACCAGCACCUCGAGUGGUCAGGACGUUUAUUGGGCCUAAAGCAUCCGUAGCCGGCUUUGCAAGUCUUCGGUUAAAUCCACCUGCUCAACAGAUGGGCUGCUGGAGAUACUACAAAGCUAGGGAGUGGGAGAGGCAGACGGUAUUCAGUGGGUAGGGGUAAAAUCCUCUGAUCCAUUGAGGACCACCAGUGGCGAAGGCGGUCUGCCAGAACACGUUCGACGGUGAGGGAUGAAAGCUGGGGGAGCAAACCGGAUUAGAUACCCGGGUAGUCCCAGCUGUAAACGAUGCAAACUCGGUGAUGCAUUGGCUUAUGGCCAAUGCAGUGCCGCAGGGAAGCCGUUAAGUUUGCCGCCUGGGAAGUACGGACGCAAGUCUGAAACUUAAAGGAAUUGGCGGGGGAGCA